Molecule: ribosomal RNA, 1230 nt
Filed under: Speocera fagei
Lineage: Eukaryota; Metazoa; Arthropoda; Arachnida; Araneae; Ochyroceratidae
Description: partial large subunit ribosomal RNA
Rfam family: Eukaryotic large subunit ribosomal RNA
Source: RNAcentral
CGCGAGUCGCGGGGUCUCGAGGAUGCCCGCGGGCGCAGUGAAAGUGAAACGUCCGGGAGAGCGUUCCGUAAAGGGUCGCUGCACCGGGGGCCCGUGGGAGUCGCCUUUGUGCGUUCGCGCGGAGCCUGAGCGUACGCGCUGGGACCCGAAAGAUGGUGAACUAUGCCUGGGCAGGGCGAAGUCAGAGGAAACUCUGAUGGAGGCCCGCAGCGGUUCUGACGUGCAAAUCGAUCGUCGGACCCGGGUAUAGGGGCGAAAGACUAAUCGAACCGUCUAGUAGCUGGUUCCCUCCGAAGUUUCCCUCAGGAUAGCUGGCGCGAGGUCCGGCAGUCUCGUCCGGUAAAGCGAAUGAUUAGAGGGUUCGGGGUCGAAACGACCUCGACCUAUUCUCAAACUUUAAAUGGGCGAAGAGCGACGCCCUUCUUGCGAGAGGGUCGCGUGGAUGUGUGCGUGCCUAGUGGGCCACUUUUGGUAAGCAGAACUGGCGCUGCGGGAUGAACCGAACGCCGGGUUACGGCGCCGGAUGCUUGACGCUCACGAGACCCCAUGAAAGGCGUCGGUUGCUCUAGACAGCCGGGCGGUGGCCAUGGAAGUUGGAAUCCGCUAAGGAGUGUGUAACAACUCACCGGCCGAAGCAACUGGCCCUGAAAAUGGAUGGCGCUGUAGCGUCGGGCCCAGCCCCGGCCGUUUGCGCGGAGUUCGUUGUGUUAUUGCGCGACGAGUAGGAGGGUCGCGGCGGCGAGCUUGGAAGGUGUCGGGCGUGGGCCCGCCUGGAGCCGCCGCCGGUGCAGAUCUUGGUGGUAGUAGCAAAUACUCGAGUGAGAGCCUCGAGGACCGAGGUGGAGAAGGGUUCCGUGUGAACAGCAGUUGAACACGGGUCAGUCGGUCCUAAGGCAUGGGCAAAGGCCUUUGUUGAGUGGCGUCUGAGAGCGCCGCGUUGCCGAAAGGGAAUCGGGUCAAUAUUCCCGAACCCGGAUGCGGAGAGGGCCCUUUUUGCGGGCCGGCGCGGCGACGCAUUCGAUCUCGGAGACGUCGGCGGCAGCCCCUGGGAGAGUUUUCUUUUCUUUGUAAGGUCGGCGGUCCCUGGAAUCGGCUCGUUCGGAGAUAGGGAGUCGUCGUCCGUAAAGCGCUGCGGCUCUUGCGGCGUCGGGAGCGCUGUCGCCGGCCCUUGAAAAUCCGAGUGAGGCGUGACGAUUCUCGCGCCGGUCCGUACCGAUGUCCGCAGCAGGU